AGGGGUGUGUCUCAGUGGUAGAGAGCUUGCCUAGCAUGCAUGAGGCCCUGGAUUCCAUCCCCAGCACUGCAA
Molecule: non-coding RNA, 72 nt
Organism: Heterocephalus glaber (naked mole-rat)
Lineage: Eukaryota; Metazoa; Chordata; Mammalia; Rodentia; Bathyergidae
Source: Rfam